GCUACCUGCAGUCGACGCGAAAGCCCCGCAAGGGGUAAGUAGAGUGGCAAACGGGUGAGUAACACGUGGGUGACCUGCCUUCGAGUGGGGGAUAACGUCCCGAAAGGGACGCUAAUACCGCAUGACAUCCUGCGUUUGGAAACGCGGAGAUCAAAGCCGGGGAUCGCAAGACCUGGCGCUUGAAGAGGGGCCCGCGCCUGAUUAGCUAGUUGGUGGGGUAACGGCCUACCAAGGCAACGAUCAGUAUCCGGCCUGAGAGGGCGGACGGACACACUGGGACUGAGACACGGCCCAGACUCCUACGGGAGGCAGCAGUGGGGAAUUGUUCGCAAUGGGCGCAAGCCUGACGACGCAACGCCGCGUGGAGGACGAAGAUCUUCGGGUCGUAAACUCCUGUCGAGCGGGAAGAACGCUUCCCGGGUGAAUAAUCCGGGGAGGUGACGGUACCGCUAAAGGAAGCACCGGCUAACUCCGUGCCAGCAGCCGCGGUAAUACGGGGGGGGCAAGCGUUGUUCGGAAUUACUGGGCGUAAAGGGCUCGUAGGCGGCCAACUAAGUCGGAUGUGAAAUCCCCAGGCUCAACUUGGGAACUGCAUCCGAUACUGGAUGGCUUGAAUCCGGGAGAGGGAUGCAGAAUUCCAGGUGUAGCGGUGAAAUGCGUAGAUAUCUGGAGGAAUACCGGUGGCGAAGGCGGCAUCCUGGACCGGCAUUGACGCUGAUGAGCGAAAGCUAGGGGAGCAAACGGGAUUAGAUACCCCGGUAGUCCUAGCCCUAAACGAUGAAUGCUUGGUGUGGCGGGUAUCGAUCCCUGCCGUGCCGAAGCUAACGCAUUAAGCAUUCCGCCUGGGGAGU
Molecule: ribosomal RNA, 851 nt
Filed under: uncultured bacterium
Lineage: Bacteria
Description: bacterial SSU rRNA
Rfam family: Bacterial small subunit ribosomal RNA
Source: RNAcentral